RNAcentral lists this transfer RNA (66 nucleotides) under Dipodomys ordii (Ord's kangaroo rat). It matches the Rfam family "tRNA". Rfam says of the family: Transfer RNA (tRNA) molecules are approximately 80 nucleotides in length. Their secondary structure includes four short double-helical elements and three loops (D, anti-codon, and T loops). Further hydrogen bonds mediate the characteristic L-shaped molecular structure. tRNAs have two regions of fundamental functional importance: the anti-codon, which is responsible for specific mRNA codon recognition, and the 3' end, to which the tRNAs corresponding amino acid is attached (by aminoacyl-tRNA synthetases). tRNAs cope with the degeneracy of the genetic code in two manners: having more than one tRNA (with a specific anti-codon) for a particular amino acid; and 'wobble' base-pairing, i.e. permitting non-standard base-pairing at the 3rd anti-codon position. The record is from Rfam by way of RNAcentral. Lineage: Eukaryota; Metazoa; Chordata; Mammalia; Rodentia; Heteromyidae.
GGGAAGGUGGCUCAGUGGUAGAGUACUUGCCUUGCAUGCAUGAGGCCCUGGGUUCGAUUCCUCAGC